This 273-nucleotide ribosomal RNA is filed under the name uncultured Lachnospiraceae bacterium. Its description in RNAcentral is "partial 16S ribosomal RNA". It matches the Rfam family "Bacterial small subunit ribosomal RNA", at positions 72 to 339 of the family's 1533-position model. Lineage: Bacteria; Bacillati; Bacillota; Clostridia; Lachnospirales; Lachnospiraceae. The record is from RNAcentral.
AUUCUUCGGAUGAAGUCUUUUGUGACUGAGUGGCGGACGGGUGAGUAACGCGUGGGUAACCUGCCUCAUACAGGGGGAUAACAGUUAGAAAUGACUGCUAAUACCGCAUAAGCGCACAGUACCGCAUGGUACAGUGUGAAAAACUCCGGUGGUGUGAGAUGGACCCGCGUCUGAUUAGCUUGUUGGCAGGGUAACGGCCUACCAAGGCAACGAUCAGUAGCCGACCUGAGAGGGUGACCGGCCACAUUGGGACUGAGACACGGCCCAGACACC